AGGGUCCGCGUUGUAAUCUGUAGAGGAUGGUUCGGCGAGGGCUCCCGCCUAAGUCCCCUGGAACGGGGCGUCAUAGAGGGUGAGAAUCCCGUAUGCGGUGGGUUGCCUUAGCCAUGUGAACCUCCUUCGACGAGUCGAGUUGUUUGGGAAUGCAGCUCUAAAUGGGAGGUAAAUUUCUUCUAAAGCUAAAUACCGGCCAGAGACCGAUAGCGCACAAGUAGAGUGAUCGAAAGAUGAAAAGCACUUUGGAAAGAGAGUUAAAAAGUACGUGAAAUUGUUGAAAGGGAAGCGCUUGCAACCAGACUUGUCCGCAGUUGCUCAGCCGGUCUCCUGACCGGCGUACUCUUCUGCGGCCAGGCCAGCAUCAGUUCGGGCGGUCGGAUAAAGGCCUCGGGAAUGUGGCUCCUCUCGGGGAGUGUUAUAGCCCGGGGCGGAAUGCGGCCAGCCUGGACUGAGGAUCUCGCUUCGGCAAGGAUGCUGGCGUAAUGGUUGUAAGCGGCCCGUCUUGAAACACGGACCAAGGAGUCUAACAUCUAUGCGAGUGUUUGGGUGUCAAACCCAUACGCGUAAUGAAAGUGAACGGAGGUGGGAACCCGCAAGGGCGCACCAUCGGCCGAUCCUGAUGUCUUCGGAUGGAUUUGAGCAAGAGCAUAGCUGUUGGGACCCGAAAGAUGGUGAACUAUGCCUGAAUAGGGUGAAGCCAGAGGAAACUCUGGUGGAGGCUCGCAGC
This 730-nucleotide ribosomal RNA is filed under the name Neodeightonia arengae. RNAcentral describes it as "Neodeightonia sp. YRX-2021a partial large subunit ribosomal RNA". It matches the Rfam family "Eukaryotic large subunit ribosomal RNA", at positions 133 to 881 of the family's 3401-position model. Lineage: Eukaryota; Fungi; Ascomycota; Dothideomycetes; Botryosphaeriales; Botryosphaeriaceae. The record is from RNAcentral.